GAAUAUGGUGAAGUGGUUAACACGCCAGAUUGUGGCUCUGGUAUGCGUGGGUUCGAUCCCCACUAUUC
This 68-nucleotide transfer RNA is filed under the name human gut metagenome. It matches the Rfam family "tRNA". From Rfam's summary of the family: Transfer RNA (tRNA) molecules are approximately 80 nucleotides in length. RNAcentral also lists the same sequence under 1 other name. The record is from RNAcentral.